UCUUUUUAAACGCUUAAUCAUCCUAUUUUUUUAUUCAAUAUAAGCCACCCAACAUUGUGGAAAACAUAUUGGAUGCACAGUUAACUGAAAUCAGCUAGGAUGCAUAUUUGUGAAAUAUUCAGCAGCAUCUGGGAUUUCAUCAUGAGCAUAUUUGAUAGAAUACUACACAUUGUGGGUCUCAAGAGCAACUAGAAGACGCAUAAUGUGAUUGUUCCUGGAAUAUUAGUGGUGUAAAGGUAGUAUUCCAAUGUAAAUAGGUGGGUAUCAAAUCAAAAUAAUAAUCAUAAAUAAAUAAUCUUCUGUAAAAUGAGAA
Macrosteles quadrilineatus (aster leafhopper) is the source of this 313-nucleotide long non-coding RNA. RefSeq lists it as uncharacterized. The record is from RefSeq and is a predicted model, not a curated record. The transcript has 2 exons. NCBI's taxonomy places the organism in Eukaryota, Metazoa, Arthropoda, Insecta, Hemiptera, Cicadellidae.